CCUACGGGGGGCUGCAGUGGGGAAUAUUGGACAAUGGGCGAAAGCCUGAUCCAGCCAUGCCGCGUGUGUGAAGAAGGCCUUCGGGUUGUAAAGCACUUUCAGUGGGGAAGAAAGCCUUGGGGCUAAUACCCUCGAGGAAGGACAUCACCCACAGAAGAAGCACCGGCUAACUCCGUGCCAGCAGCCGCGGUAAUACGGAGGGUGCGAGCGUUAAUCGGAAUUACUGGGCGUAAAGCGCGCGUAGGCGGUCUGAUAAGCCGGUUGUGAAAGCCCCGGGCUCAACCUGGGAACGGCAUCCGGAACUGUCAGGCUAGAGUGCAGGAGAGGAAAGUAGAAUUCCCGGUGUAGCGGUGAAAUGCGUAGAGAUCGGGAGGAAUACCAGUGGCGAAGGCGGCCUUCUGGACUGACACUGACGCUGAGGUGCGAAAGCGGGGGUAGCAAACAGGAUUAGAUACCCCUGUAGUC
This 465-nucleotide ribosomal RNA is filed under the name Vreelandella stevensii. RNAcentral's name for it is "partial 16S ribosomal RNA". It matches the Rfam family "Bacterial small subunit ribosomal RNA", at positions 338 to 795 of the family's 1533-position model. The record is from RNAcentral. Lineage: Bacteria; Pseudomonadati; Pseudomonadota; Gammaproteobacteria; Oceanospirillales; Halomonadaceae.